CCGGCGCACGGGUGAGUAACACGUAUGCAAUCCACCUGUAACAGGGGGAGUAACCCGGAGAAAUCCGGACUAAUACCCCAUAAUAUGGGCGCUCCGCAUGGAGAGUUCAUUAAAGAGAGCAAUUUUGGUUACAGACGAGCAUGCGCUCCAUUAGCCAGUUGGCGGGGUAACGGCCCACCAAGGCGACGAUGGAUAGGGGUUCUGAGAGGAAGGUCCCCCACAUUGGUACUGAGACACGGACCAA
This 244-nucleotide ribosomal RNA is filed under the name uncultured bacterium. Its description in RNAcentral is "partial 16S ribosomal RNA". It matches the Rfam family "Bacterial small subunit ribosomal RNA", at positions 95 to 334 of the family's 1533-position model. The record is from RNAcentral.